GGAAAACUCCGGGUAAGAUAGUUCCAGCAAGAGGACCAACUGAUUUCGGGUGGGAUCCAGUGUUUCAACCUGAUGGAUAUGACCAAACUUAUGCAGAAAUGGCCAAGGAAGAAAAGAACUUGAUUUCUCAUAGGUACAAGUCAUUAGCAUUGGUGAAAUCGCACUUUAAGGAGGCAGGCUAUGUGUUCCAGACAGAUGAUGAUACCAUUUAAGCGAUCCCAAUCAUCAAUGUAUCCAGCUUUUAGAGAUUUGAGCACUGAUCACUCACUGUUCCUAUAUUAAGCUCCUUUGGGGAUGAUCACUCACUGUUCCUAUAUUAAGCUCCUUUGGGGAUAUCAAUAUUGUAUUUUUUUUCUCAAGUACAAGUAAAACCCAUGCAUGGAUUGAAAGGCAUCGUUUGGUAGUAUUGUUCAUGGUGGUCAUUAAAUACUCCGACGGUGAGACUUGUAUCAAUCUGAUAAAACCAUCCAACCAAAAAGCUAAAAUAAAUGUUGGAUGGCAAAACUAAAAGAGAAUGGGGUGCUAUGAUGUUCCACAUAAAUAGCCGUUUAUGAUCACACAAUGUAUUUUAUUUUCUCUUUUUGUACUUAAAGAGUCUCAUUUGUUUAGUUGUGUACAUCGUGAGUUGCAGUGCCUGAGCUUCAAGGUGAGCCUGAGGAUAUCUCCAAAGAGAAGGCUCGUUUAGCUGCUCUUCAGGUGAAUGGUCCAGUCUUAGUGGAGGAUACAUGCCUCUGUUUCAAUGCUCUGAAGGGGCUUCCUG
Long non-coding RNA from Capsella rubella, 760 nucleotides. RefSeq lists it as uncharacterized. The record is from RefSeq and is a predicted model, not a curated record. The transcript has 4 exons. Lineage: Eukaryota; Viridiplantae; Streptophyta; Magnoliopsida; Brassicales; Brassicaceae.